AUGAAUUCUGUCGGGUCCCAAAACACGUGGUCUAAAGUCCUUUGGGCUCCUGUUGCUGCCAGCACUGACAAUAUGCUCUUGACCCUGGGCGGGGUGGGCGGGGGCGGGGGGCUCCUCUUUCCCUUGGUGACACGCCCCGCCCCUCGGUCCCUCACUGGCACUUCUCCCUCCGGCCACACGGCGGCGUCUCGCGAGAGUGCAGCGGCCGAUGGUACAGCUCGCUCCCCCUCGCGCCCUCGGACAGUGGGUCCUUCCACUUCUAGAAAAGGAUUGUGGGACGGCAGGUCGGUCUUUCUUCCUUUUGGUGCGAGCUUGGCGUGGUUUUUGCGCUGGGUCUUCCGGGAUGGCGCUUGGCUGUGGCCGCGUGGUCUCUCACGCCGGGGCGCCGGGCAGGGGAACGCGGCCACCCUGAGUCUGGUGAGUCGACUGCGGCGGCCGGACCGUGUCCGAGGUGUCCGGGGCCGUGAACGCGUGAAGGGUAAGCGGCCUGGCCUCGCGCCUGCGUUCCCAAGCUUGGAAACGGGGAGCUGGUGGAUUUGUGUUUAGAUCAUCGACUAUGCCCGGGAGUUCUCCAGAUAAGCCUGGCUUUAUUUUCGUUAGUGAAAAGGCCUUACCUGACUUUAUGCCUGCCCUGCCCCCGGGUAAAAUAACUUAAAAGCAGAGGGCCUGGUGACGGCUGUUUCCAUAUGCGGUACUCGGCGGCAGUGAUCACCUACCCUGCUUGUGAGUUUUCACGUUGGUGCGAGACGAGUCGCCAUUUAAAACGCAUCUCAUUUCACUUUUCAUUACUAAGUCGGAUUUUAAAUAGAAAAUUUCUCUGAAAUGUAGUGUUCGUUUUUAGGCUGUAAUCAGAAGAUUACUGUCAGCCAGUCAGCAACCUUAUGUCCUAGAGCCGACCUCGCGCAGUGUCAGCCUUUGUGUUGCCCAUUCACUUUGGAAACUAGUGAAUGUGGUGUCAAAAAAGGCGUAAAUUAAACGCUUUGCAGCCUUUUCCUGCCCUUGAAUUUGGUAUCUUUGGUGUAGGAGCUGCAUAAGUAACAGUUGCUGCUUUUACAUUUACACGCGUGAUCUUGACCCCGCCAGCCACAAGUGUAUGGUUUGUCUUAACCAGUUUUAAUUUUU
This is a non-coding RNA of Macaca mulatta (Rhesus monkey), 1122 nucleotides long. NCBI's taxonomy places the organism in Eukaryota, Metazoa, Chordata, Mammalia, Primates, Cercopithecidae. The record is from RefSeq and is a predicted model, not a curated record.